Melanotaenia boesemani (Boeseman's rainbowfish) is the source of this 1789-nucleotide long non-coding RNA. RefSeq lists it as uncharacterized. Lineage: Eukaryota; Metazoa; Chordata; Actinopteri; Atheriniformes; Melanotaeniidae. The transcript has 4 exons. The record is from RefSeq and is a predicted model, not a curated record.
AGCAGAAUGUAACCUAAAUAUAUUUAUAUAUUUAUAAAUCUAAUAUUGUAUAUAAAGGUAAAACACACAACAUUAGAAAUCCACCAGCUCUUGCAGUAAAGCAGCUGAAUCUCAGUUCAACACAAACACAGAGCAAAAACCACCAGUGAAACAUAACUUGGAUCUUUUAUCAAAGAUAAAACUUAGUAAUGUUGACUCUGGCCUCGUUUCUCUCUUUGUGGGAGGCUUUUUUGCAAAACAGCUUUAUUCACUGGAGGGAAAUCUGAUCAGACCAGCUGCCACAAAGCAGAAAGGACAAAGGGAGAAAAGAGAUGGAGACUGCCCUCUCUGUGGGAGUGACUUCCUCUUCAUCUCUUGGAUAAUGGAUCUCCAGUACUGAGUUGAUCUCUGAAGGCUCCAGGGGCCGGGCUAUUGAGCGGCCAUCUGGCCAGUAGACCUCAACAUUGGUGGCCACAUCCUUACCUGUUUAGAUCGGGUUCAGUGAGCAGCAGUGGGUGCACUUGGAGGCCUGGAUCACCACCAGCUGACCGUGUCUGGGGAGGCGAAAGGAAACCAGGAUCUGGUCACUCACAAUACUUGUUGGCCUCCAGCUGCAACACCUGUUCUUCUGUCUCCUGGUACCUGAAAAGUCUGUUGGCGGAGGGGCCUCUGUAGGCGAUAUUGUUGAAGAAAACCUCCAGCUCGUUGUCAUUGUCAAAGUCUGCAGCAAUGACGGUUCGGACGGGGGAUGGCAUGGAAAACUUCUGGGAGGCUAUGUCCUGGGGAAAAAGGCACAUCGGUGAAUCACAAACACACUCAUGCAUACAUGAGUAAGGAAAUUCAGAAGCAGCAGUCAUCAAGCAUGUUUAAUCAGUUAUAUCAAAAUGGUUAUCGCAGACUUACAGUAUAUUAACCUACAAUGAUUAUUACAGGUUUGUGCAUCAGUGGGUUAAAUACAUGAAAACUAAGUACUUAUUUUUUUUAAUUGAAAAAGUUAUUUGACUGCUGUUUUAUUGCAGUUAUUUGUAUUCUUAUUAGAUGUACUAUUAUCUGUUUUAUGCCCACUCUGAGUGUCCUUAAAGUUAUUCUCUUGGUUUAUAAAAGAGAGUUUGACACUGCAAAUGUGAAAUGUAAAUAUCUUUGUCUUUUAUGGAUUGUAUAAAGUUUAACACAGACUUUUCCUGAAUAACCUGUUGGUCAACUUUACUGAAAAAUAAUGAUGUAAGAAAAAACCCUCCACUUCCCACGGAGCACUCAACUGGUUUUGGACACUACUCCAUAACCUGAAGGUCACAAGUCCCACUACAAACAUGUUUAUCAAUAAUAAGUGUCCAGUCCUUCAGUUGGACAGCUAUGGCUAAGGGUUGCAUCUAAAGAUAAGAACAAAGAGCCUUUUUACAUCCUCUGGCAUGAGAAAAGUAGACAGACCCUCACCCCAUCAAAAAAAGUCUCUGCAGCAGAGAAGUUUUUCCCAUGAGAAAGUAACAGAUAUUUCCCUGCUUCAGUGACACGGUGAUAAGUUGAAAAAAGGGUAAUAGAGCACCCCUUCACUCCCCCACAGUAUUUACUCCCAUUUUAAUUAUAAGGCUCAUAAAGCUGCAGGGAUGGGGGCCACCCACAGUGACCUUCUGCUUCUCAGGUAAAGGAGAGGGGAUGGCCAUCUGAUGCUGUGAGGGAGGACGACAGGGAGGGACUGCUCUACAUUUACUGUAUUACCAUAUGUACAUGUGCCAACAAAAAAAAAGAAGAAGAAAAAGAAGAAGAAUUGGACUUUCAUUGCUCCAUUCAGUUUUGUUGAAACUAGAGAUUU